This 648-nucleotide ribosomal RNA is filed under the name Waltheria indica (sleepy morning). Its description in RNAcentral is "eukaryotic LSU rRNA". The stretch from base 249 to 404 matches the Rfam family "5.8S ribosomal RNA". Lineage: Eukaryota; Viridiplantae; Streptophyta; Magnoliopsida; Malvales; Malvaceae. The record is from RNAcentral.
CCUGCGGAAGGAUCAUUGUCGAAACCUGCACAGCAGAACGACUCGUGAACGUGUUAAACAACUCCGCGGGGGGAGUAGGCGGCCUCGGCUCCGAUCCCCCCCGCGUCGGCGGUGCGCGAGUGCCCCGGCAAAACAACGAACCCCGGCGCGAAUUGCGCCAAGGAAAUGCAAAACGAAAAGAGAACGUCGCGGCGUCCCCGUUCGCGGGAGGCGCGGCCGGCCGUUCCUCGAUUCAUAACAUUCAAAACGACUCUCGGCAACGGAUAUCUCGGCUCUCGCAUCGAUGAAGAACGUAGCGAAAUGCGAUACUUGGUGUGAAUUGCAGAAUCCCGUGAACCAUCGAGUCUUUGAACGCAAGUUGCGCCCCAAGCCAUUAGGCCGAGGGCACAUCUGCCUGGGUGUCACGUAUCGUCGCCCCUCCCUACCUCUCUUUGCGGAGGGCGGGCGGAGAAUGGCCUCCCGUGCGCUCCCCGCUCGCGGCUGGCCCAAACACGAGUCCCAGGCGACCAGAGCGCCGCGACGAUCGGUGGUGUGUCUUUAUGCUCGUCGCACGUCGCGCGCGUCGGUCGCCCUUAGGGAUGCCUCGAGACCCUGACGCGUCCUCUCGGGAGACGCUCGCAUCGCGACCCCAGGUCGGGUGGGACUACC